Molecule: long non-coding RNA, 8771 nt
Filed under: Medicago truncatula (barrel medic)
Lineage: Eukaryota; Viridiplantae; Streptophyta; Magnoliopsida; Fabales; Fabaceae
Description: long non-coding RNA (MTRU_LNC000278)
Source: RNAcentral
CUCUUUUUUCAUUAUCUGUUGCAGAAUUUUGCAUUUAGAAUGGCAUCAUCAUCAGCUACCACAAUGAAGUUGUUCGUCGUUUUUGUCAUCGUAUUCACCACCGUGGCCUCGGCCCAAGACCUUAGUCCGUCGUUAGCUCCAGCACCCGGUCCUGACGCUGGAGCUGCCGGAUUUGUUACAAGUUCUGUGGCUAUGAUCGGAGCUUCAAUUGUGCUGUCAAUGGUCGCCAUUUUCAAGAACUAAGAGAAGUCCAUUUUGUGGGAACACUAUUAAUUAUUUAUCAGCACAUAUGAUUCUUAUUGUUUUUUUACAAUUAUUGAACUGCUUAUCAUAGAGUUCAUCUAUGUAUGUGGUUGUAUAGCGGAUUGGAUAUAUUGUGUGAUUUUUACAAUUUAAUUAUUUAUUGUACAUGUUAGAGAAAAAUAAAAAAAUUGGAUUUUUGUAUUCUUUUUCAGUUUUAUUCUUCUAUUUUUGUUUGAGGGAUUCUAUUAUUAUUAUUAUUAUUAUUAUUAUUAUUAUUAUUUGGUGCCAUGAAAUUUAGAUGGAUAUUUAUAUUUUAUUUUUAGGUCUUGUUAACGAGUGCCUCGGGCACUCUUUAAGCAUUAUAAAAGAAAUUAUUUCAUACAAAAAGUAAAAAAUUUCAAUUCUCAAUGCAUUAAUUACAUUAAUUUUUAAUAAAAGUUACUUUUUAAAGAUCUUAAAGAGUGUCCGGGAGCACUCGUUAACAUUUUCCUUUAUUUUUAACAGUGAUAUUCAAACAAUUAAAAUGUGAUAAUCUUCUCGAUUUUAAAUGUUAAUUUGGUUAAAAGAAAAAAAAAUUAUUAUUAAAUUGACAAUAGUAUGGAAAUACGAUGACAAACAAUUUUUAGUUUUAAAAAUUACUUUUCUCUUUUAAUUUUGUUGGGAAUUGAUAUCAUGCAACUAAAUUAAAUUGAAAAUUUAUAAGGACAAUGCAUAAUAUAUGCAAGGUUCGGGGUUCCUGGCCACUACUCAAAAUAAUUUUUUUUUUUUUUGAAAACUCGGUAUCUGAUCCAAGAAUCGAUUAAUCAGAGGGGACCAAUCCCACCGCCCACUUGCGGGGGCCCCAUUUUAAAGCUAGAGCAAGCUUUGUAUGGACUUAGCCCACCAAAAUUGACACCAGAGGAAAUCGAACAUAAGACCUUUGAAGGAGCAGACUCCAAGAUCCCAAGUCAAUCCCAAAUGGGUUUUAAAUUUAAAAUUUUUAAUCCAUGAAAUCAUACGUUUAUUUUUGGAUGGAAGAGUAUUAUCAUUUCUCAAAUUGUUUUUUAUAUUAGCGCGUUUAAUAAAUACUAAUACUAAUAUAUAAGGGUAUACACGUCCUGUGAGCAUAGCUCAGUUGGUAGGAUAAUGCAUUACUAUAUGCAGGUAGGCAUGGCAACAGAACCCGUACCCGCGGGUACCCACCCGAACCUAUCCCGAUUUUGACGGGGAAAAUCCGCUUUGACUGGGUUUGGGUUUGGGUUUUCCCCGAUUUUAAAGGAUGGGGGUGGGGCGGGUAAUGGGGAAACAUGUACCCACCCCGAACCCGUCCCCGAACCCGCCCCAAUUAUAUUAAAUUACACAAUUACCCCUAUUUUAAUAUAAAGUCUCAAUUAAUCAUACUGUAGUCACUUCCCACAAGUCUCAAUUAACCCCUAUUUUGAAGGAGCAUUGGUUCUGUUUCGGAAGACAUUGUUUUUCUCUUAAUAGUCUGGUGGUUUAUUUGUUUUGGUUAGGUGGUUAUAGUUGUGAUGAUUAGUGUUGUAAUUGCUUGUGCAAUUUUAUCAAUUUGUUAUAGUUCUUUGUACUUGUUAUUCUCAAUUUUAUCAAUUUUAAUGUUUAUAUUAUAACUUGUAUAUUUUAUAUAGGUGAAAUAUUAGCUAGUGGUGUUACUUCCCUCUUUGAAGAUGGUCAAUAGUAUUUUGAGAAAAGAGAAAGAAAGAAGACUACAUUGGUGGUGGCAGCUUAUCUAGCUACUUUUGUUAGCAAUUUCAAUGAACAAUGAUUUUUAUCUACUUGUGUUAGCAAUUUCAAUGAACAAUGAUGUAGUUUUGGAAUAUUGGUUUGGUUAUGUGGUUGUUUUGAUGGUAGUUUGGAAUACUCUUAUCUACUAGUACUAUAUUAUUUGGUUUUGAUAAAUUUAAUAUUGGUUUUGAUAAUUUGGAUUACUAGUUGUAUGGUUGCUGCAUUACUUUAUUUGAAAUAAUUUUAUUGUAUAUUCGGAUGAAUUUUGGGUUCAUGAUAUAUGUUCUAGUUUGGGUCAAGGGAUUAUGUUUAUUAAAAAUCUGAAUCCACUGCGAGUAUGGGGGCGGGGCGGGGAUACCCGAACCCAUUUGGGAUGGGGUUUGGGUUCAAUUAUUCAUCCCCGUCGGGGUACGGGGUGGGGAACGGGGCUUUAUCAGGGAAUUGGGUUUGGGGAUGGGGUAGGUAAAAACCGUCCCCGCUCCGCCCCAUUGCCAUGCCUAUAUGCAUGGGUCGGGAUUCGAAUCUCGGACACCUCACUUAUUCAUCUUAUAAGGUGAAUUCUUGCCACUAAGCUACCUGACCAAAAAAAAAGAUAUACACUAUUUUGAGUUGAACUUUUUCUUUUUAAUUUUACCAUUUAUUAAAACUAGUUAGAUCUCAUUAAAAUAACAACAAUAUACAAUAAUAGAAGAAACAAUUCACAAAAAUAGGAACAAUAUUAGAUUUUUUUUUUUUUAAGCAAAGAGAAAAUAGAUUAAAUAAAAAUAAAAGUUCAAGAUACUGGGGACAUAAACUUAACCCAAUGGAAAUAAACAAAAGUGUAACAACCUUUAAAAGGCAAUACAACCAUGAAUCAACCCUAACGGAUAUAAACAAACAAAAUAUAAACGAAGAAACAAAAUCUUAAGUGAAUAAUGCAAACCACGACAAGAUAUAAAAACCUAAUUUUAAACUUGUGUAAAAAAAAAGUUUUGAUGUAACAUUUUUCCUUCCAAUUUUACCUUUACUUAAUUAUUUUAACUAUUACUUGCCUAUAAAAGCGGAAAAGACAAACACAUUAGUAGUGGUAAUAAUAUAAACAAAUUGAUUCCACAUAAAAUUCUUUUAUCAUAUUAUUUUUCUAAUAAAUUAAUAGCGUAAUGACAUCAAAAAGAGUAAAAGACAUCCCAACCCGUUUGACAUUUCUAAUUCCAUUCUCUGAAAUGCACCUGCUCAAUAGCUAUAAUAAAUUAAUAAUGGCUAAAAUCUCUCCAUGCAUAAUAGAAAAAUUGUUAAAAAUUGAUUUUUUUUGAAAAAUACUUCCUAAGAGCCUUUAACCAAGUAAGCCACGAAGCUUUCAAAAAAAAUUGAAAUGAUUAGAGGUGGAGGCUUAAAAUUGGGAAUCAAUUUCAAAUGCAGCAGAACUUGCACUUAUGGGCUACCAUGUCUAACUAUGUUCUUAGACAAGCUAGCACUAAGAGAGUUAGCUGUAUUAAUCUUGAUAAUAGCUGUAUUAUCUCUUGUCUUCUAUGUCUUGACACCAAGGUAUUUUCUCUGCUGAAUAUGAUUUCUGACGCAGAUUUGUAUUAGUUUGAAACAUGAUUUACUAGUCAAUACCUGUAAUUUUUUACCCCUCUUUAGUCAUGAUGUUAGGCAAGUUGAUGUUAGAUUAUAGCAUAAAACUUGUCCUGCUGUAUGCGGUGGAGGUUCUGCUGUCUGCAGGGUUUUUUUUUGCUUGCAUGUUGCCGGUUUGGUGUGUGCCUGGGUGUUUUUUUGGUGCUGCUGUUGGUGUUUUCAACAACUGCAGCAUGGCUGAUAAGCGCCUGUUUUUUCAGUAGUGGUUGCGGUUUUGCGGCUGUGCAAGUUUCUAGCCUUCUGGUGUGUCUAGGCAAGCUUGUAGUUUGUUAGUGGGAAGCUGUAGUUACUGCCUUUCUGUGCAGGUUUGGGUGUUUUGGUUUUUCUGUGCUAUCUUUGUUAUUGUUGGGUUAUGCCUAUGCCGCUUUAGGCCUUUUGAUUUUUGGGUAGAGGUUCCGCAUAUAUAAAGAUUUUGGUGUUCCUACAUUGUUAGGUGUUCCGCAUAUUUCCGGCACCUUUGUAUGUUUCUCUUUGUAGUCCAAGCUUUUGUUAUUCUUUCACUAGUUUGGCUUCAUAAAUUUUCACUUGUUGUUGGUACCACUGGUACCUUAUAUUUCUAAUAAAUUUUUGUUUUGGCUUUUAAAAAAAAAACUAUAUGAAUUUAUCCAAGAUUUUACUGUGAUUUUGUGCGGUUGAUGAUUGAAGGAUGACGACUAUAGACGGACUUGUGACAAUGGAGGGAUGACAACUACAAUUAGACUUAAUUACUGUACAUGUGUAUACCACAUUUGUUGUGGGAUUAUUGCAUUUAGUAGUUAAUUAUAGUCUAUACUUGUCUAUUGAAAUUGUCUACGAUGAGUAGUUAAUUCUUUUUAAAUGUCAUUUUUGCAGUGGCGAAGAAUAUUAGACACAUGGAUUAUAUGUGUACUUACAACUCUUAUAAUACAAAUAUUAGUUUUAUUAAAAAAGUUUUUUGUUUCAAUAUUUUUCUAUUCUUACAAGUCACGUUUUAGAGAAUAAUCCAAAUUCAUUUCCAUUUCACAUGAUUUUGCUAAUAAUUGAUGUAUAAUAUGCCAAAUGUUUUAAUAGAAGGAAUUAUUAGGGAAGAAAAUAUAGUUAUUUUGUUUCAAUUAUUAAAAAAAAAUUAACGAUUGUAAAAAAAAAAAGUGAACGAAAUCGAGGUAAGAAAUUUAAUAAAUUAUGAUAGAAAAAAAUUUAAAUUAAUUAUUUUUUUAGGAUUUUUUUUCAGUUAAUUAGUUUAAAAAUGGAAGAAAUUAUAAGAAAUAAAAUUUAGUCAAAUAAAGGAAUUCAAUUACUUUGUCAUCCAAACAAUGAAUUUUGAAAAUGAAGGAAUUCAUUUACUUUACCCAAAUAAUGAAUUUUGAAAAUGAAAGGAAUUCAAUUGAAUUCCUUAAAAUUUCAAAUUCCCUUGAAUUUUCAAAUGCUCUAUCCAAACACACUCUUAGGUUUGGUCUAAAAUAGAAAGUUAUAUAUAAAAAAUUGAGUAAUUAUAAAAAGAAAAAACUCUGAAAUGUUUUUUUAGGGAGAAAAAAAAACUCUGAAAUGUUAAAAAGAAAACUUUAAAAUGUCUAGUUUUUAACGUGGGUCUUGUCGGCAAGUUUAGUUAAUUACGGAAAAAUAAAUUAAAGAAUCUUUGCCAAAUCAUCAUAGGCUGUUUAAUUAACAAAACCGAAAAGCAAAAACAGCUAAAUAACGUAACGUAAACCAACACAACGGCACCAACCAGAAAGCCAUUCAUACGUUAACAACACCGAAACACCUGUUUCUCAAAUCCAGCUAUCAACGUUUUCUGUGGGCCCCACAUUCCUUCCCUUAAUCUCUAUAUAAAUACUCCCCACUUCCUUUCAUCACCACCAUAUAUCAAAACUUCUUCAACACCAAAAACUUUUUAAUAACACUUUCCAUUUUUUCUUCUCUGUUAAAUAAUUUUACAAUUACAAUGGCAUCAUCAUCUGCUACCACAAUGAAGUUGUUCUUUGGUUUUGUCAUCGUGUUUGCCGCUGUGGCCUCGGCCCAAGACCUUAGUCCCUCGUUAGCUCCAGCACCAGGUCCUGAUGCUGGAGUUGCCGGAUCUGUUGCAGGUUCUGUGGCUAUGAUCGGAGCUUCAAUUGUGCUUUCAAUGCUCGCUAUCUUCAAGAAUUGAAAAAAUUAAAGACUAUGAGGUCAUUUUGUGGGAACACUAUUAAUUAUUUCUUGACACAUGAUUCUUGAUGUUUUUCAAUAUUGAUCUGAUUAUCACGAGUUCAUCUAUGUAUAGUGAGAGUGAGAGAGAUUUUUAUUGUAUUUGUUCAUGUUUAUAAUCAUUUAUUGUAGAUGUAGAAAAAAAAUAAAAGAGGAUAUUGAAUCCUUCGUGCUUCUUCAACUUCCUCGUUCUUUUAUUAUUGUUACGUGUAAAUUUGUUUUAAGUAAUUUAAUAAUUAAAAAUUCACCUUUAAGCAAAUUCGAAUCUGCGUCAGAGUUUGAAUCAACUGAAUUAAACUCACAAACACACAUAUAUAUUAUUAUUUUGGUUAAUUAAGUAUUUAUAAUUUCAUUUUUCUCCCUUUCAUUUUUUUUUCAUCAUGAUUUUGUUCUUCUUAAAAACGCUAAAGAAUGUUAAAGUGAUUAAACAAAAUAACGAUAUUUUUUGAAGAUUAAAAACAAAAUUCUAUAUAUUUAUAUGGACACAUUUAUUUGUUUAACCCUUAUUAUUAAUAGAAUUCUCCGAUUUCAUGGAUUUUGAUGGGUAUCAUUAUCAUUUAGCCAAAUUAAUUCAAAAUUUAAAUUCACUUUCAUAAUAUCCUUUUUUUAAAAAAGGCUAAGCAAAAUGUAGUAAAAAACCAACACAAGCUAAAAAAAAGGAAGCUAAAAUAUCCAAAUAUUACAAGAGGAAAAUACAAGCUAUCCCAAUGCAGCCAACUAAAGCAAAAUUAUGUUACAACAUUUUCCAAUGAAGAGAGAAGUUGUUCCGUUUUAUUAUGGAAACGCCUCAUCCUUCCAAAUAGUAAAAAGAAUUUGAAGGAUCGUUGAAAUGUCUAACCAGCUCAAUAUCAAAAGUCAAAGUUGCCCAUAAAAAACACAUGAAAAAAAAACAAAUGAUCUUGAUCCUCUACCAAUCCGCAAGCGGCCAAAAAAAGUAUCAUUAUAAUCCAAGAUGUUUCUCAUUAACAAAUUCAUCCGACAAAUAAAAAUAUUGAUCUUAGCAAAAUUUACUUAAGCCAUAAAACAUGAUUGCAUCGGUCAUCAACAACAACAUCCGAAGUAGCCAAGUGAAUAUAUACGCUUUUGACCGUGUACCCAUGGAAAGAAUGAAGCAUACAAAUCUACCUGUCAGUCAGAUCAACCUACAAAACAACAAGUUACAGUUGCUCCAAAUGUCGUAUAUUUUAGGAUGGAAGAGAAUUGUUAUUUUUUGCAACAAUAUUUUAAUUUUAGGCAAAAUUACAUCAUUCAUAUCGUAACUUAUUUCCUCCCUUUAUAAUUAUCUAUAUCCUUCAUAUUUCAUUUUCUUCACUUUGAUACUUUGAAUUUGUGAUUUUUGUACGAAGAUGUUGUGACACUACGGAUGAUAUAUUUUUUUUUUUAUAAAUACAAUUUUUUAUUUGAAGAUUUGAUGUCGUUGUUGAUGGAGAUGGCGAUUUUAGCUUUAUUUUAUUUUUAUAACAUCUCGAAAGUUAUUGAAGAUGAUAAUGAACAUGAUAAGAAUUUUUUUAUCUCUAGACAAAUUUUGUAAAAAAGGACAACAAUCUCAAUAUUUAAAAGGGUUUAUUAAGUAAAAGAAAAAGUAAGUCAAGGAAAAAUAUAAUAAAUAAAAAAGAAAGAGAGGCAGAGACUAUGGACAUUACACCUGGCUCAGAUACAACAUAAACUAGAAUAUAUCAUAAUGGUUAAGUGGAACAAGUGUAAAGUAUCCUAACAAAAAUUCACUCAUCAUGUGCACACUCCAACGAAUUCGGAUACGGACGCGACACCAAGUUACAAAUAGAGAGUAUGAUAAUAUAACUAAAAUUAAGUUAUGAGAUCGAUGUAGUAAUUUCACCAUUUUUUUUUAUGAUAAGAUUUUUUUUUUGGGUGCGGGGUAACGUGGGUCUUGGUGGCAGGUUUAAUUAAUUACAGAAAAAUAAAUUAACGUCCCAUAAGUAUAGUUUAGUUGGCAGAUACAUGUAUUAUUAUAGUUUAGUUGGUCAAGUAGCCUAGUGGCUAGAGCUCACACAAUUUAAUUGUGGAGAAGUGGAGUGUUCGGAGUUCGAACCCCGGCUCCUGCAUAUGAUAUGCAAUAUCCCUACCAACUGAGCUAAACUCACGGGGAUAAAAAAAAAAAAAAAAUUAACAAAUCUUUACCACAUAAUCUUACUGUUUAAUUAACAACCCCAAAUGUAACCAAAAAAAAUAAAAAAUCAACAUCGAAAAGCAAAAACAGCUAAGUAAAGUAACGUAAACAAACACAACGGCAACCAAACCAUACAACAACCCAUUCAUAACGUUAACAACACUGAAACACCUGUUUCUCAAAUCCAGCUGCCCACGUUUUCUGUGGGUCCCACAUUCCAUCCCUUAUAAAUACUCCCCACUUCCUUUUAUCACCGUAUAUCAAAAUCUCUUCAACACCAAAAACUUGUUCUUAAUUAACACUUUCAACUCUUUUCUUUAUCUGUUGCAGAAUUUUACAAUCACAAUGGCAUCAUCAUCAACUACCACAAUGAAAUUGUUCUUCGUUUUUGUCAUCGUCUUUGCCACAGUGGCCUCGGCCCAAGACCUUAGUCCGUCGUUGGCUCCAGCACCAAGUCCUGACGCUGGAGCUGCCGGAUCUGUUACAAGUUCUAUGGCAAUGAUCGGAGCUUCAAUUGUGCUGUCAAUGCUCGCAAUCUUCAAGAACUGAGAAAAUUAAAGACUAUGAGGCCAUUUUGUGGGAACACUAUUGAUUAUUUCUUGACACAUGAUUCUUCUUGCUGUUUUACAAUAUUUAUCUAUGUAUAUUGUUUUACAAUAUUCUUCUUGCUGUUUCACUAGUUCAUCUAUGUAUAUUGAGAGUGAGAGAGAUUUUUAUUGUAUUUAUUUAUGUAUUUAAUCAUUUAUUGUAGAUGUAGAAAGAAAAUAAAGGAGGAUAUUCAAUCGUUCUUGUUUCUUCAACUUUCUUGUUCUUUUAUUAUUGUUACGGUUAAAUAUUUUUUUAAGUAAUUUAAUGAUUAAAUAUUCACCUUUAAAUAAUUAUAUGUUAGUAUUGGAGUUCGAACCAACCGAACACAAUGAGU